Molecule: ribosomal RNA, 538 nt
Filed under: uncultured bacterium
Lineage: Bacteria
Description: bacterial SSU rRNA
Rfam family: Bacterial small subunit ribosomal RNA
Source: RNAcentral
CUCCUACGGGAGGCAGCAGUGGGGAAUUGUUCGCAAUGGGCGCAAGCCUGACGACGCAACGCCGCGUGGAGGAUGAAGAUCUUCGGGUCGUAAACUCCUGUCGAAUGGGACGAAUGGUCCGGCCGUGAAUAACGGCUGGAAAUGACGGUACCGUGAGAGGAAGCCCCGGCUAACUCCGUGCCAGCAGCCGCGGUAAUACGGGGGGGGCAAGCGUUGUUCGGAAUUACUGGGCGUAAAGGGCUCGUAGGUGGCCUUCUAAGUCCGACGUGAAAUCCCUCGGCUUAACCGGGGAACUGCGUCGGAUACUGGAAGGCUUGAAUCCGGGAGAGGGACGUGGAAUUCCAGGUGUAGCGGUGAAAUGCGUAGAUAUCUGGAGGAACACCGGUGGCGAAGGCGGCGUCCUGGACCGGGAUUGACACUGAGGAGCGAAAGCCAGGGGAGCAAACGGGAUUAGAUACCCCGGUAGUCCUGGCCCUAAACGAUGAGUGCUUGGUGUGGCGGGUAUCGAUCCCCGCCGUGCCGGAGCUAACGCAUAAGC